GACGAACGCUGGCGGCGUGCUUAACACAUGCAAGUCGAACGGAAAGGCCCUGCUUUUGUGGGGUGCUCGAGUGGCGAACGGGUGAGUAACACGUGAGUAACCUGCCCUUGACUUUGGGAUAACUUCAGGAAACUGGGGCUAAUACCGGAUAGGAGCUCCUGCUGCAUGGUGGGGGUUGGAAAGUUUCGGCGGUUGGGGAUGGACUCGCGGCUUAUCAGCUUGUUGGUGGGGUAGUGGCUUACCAAGGCUUUGACGGGUAGCCGGCCUGAGAGGGUGACCGGCCACAUUGGGACUGAGAUACGGCCCAGACUCCUACGGGAGGCAGCAGUGGGGAAUAUUGCACAAUGGGCGGAAGCCUGAUGCAGCAACGCCGCGUGCGGGAUGACGGCCCUCGGGUUGUAAACCGCUUUCGCCUGUGACGAAGCGUGAGUGACGGUAAUGGGUAAAGAGGCACCGGCUAACUACGUG
This 468-nucleotide ribosomal RNA is filed under the name uncultured bacterium. Its description in RNAcentral is "partial 16S ribosomal RNA". It matches the Rfam family "Bacterial small subunit ribosomal RNA", at positions 28 to 507 of the family's 1533-position model. The record is from RNAcentral.